RNAcentral lists this ribosomal RNA (676 nucleotides) under Cemocotylelloides carangis. RNAcentral's name for it is "eukaryotic LSU rRNA". It matches the Rfam family "Eukaryotic large subunit ribosomal RNA", at positions 48 to 608 of the family's 3401-position model. Lineage: Eukaryota; Metazoa; Platyhelminthes; Monogenea; Mazocraeidea; Heteraxinidae. The record is from RNAcentral.
AAAGGGCUGAAAAAAUGCUUCUGGAUUUCCCUAGUAACGGCGAGUGAACAGGGAUUAGCCCAGCACCGAAGUCUGCGUCCGUUUGGGCGUUUGACAAUGUGGUGUUUAGGUUGGCGCUUUCUGGCGUUGCUCCAUUUAAAGUCCAUUCUUGAAUAUGGCUAAUAUUUUGGCCCAAAGAGGGUGAAAGGCCCGUGUGGAUGGAGUGAUGCUUGACUGCGCUAGCUGUAGAGUCGGGUUGUUUGAGAACGCAGCCCAAAGUUGGUGGUAAACUCCAUCUAAGGCUAAAUACUGGCACGAGUCCGAUAGCGAACAAGUACCGUGAGGGAAAGUUGAAAAGUACUCUGAAGAGAGAGUUAACAGUGCGUGAAACCGCUUAGAAGCAAACGGGUGUAGUCACCCUUCAAGCCUUAAGAAAUAUGGUGGUCAGAAUGGCGUGAUUCUGACCACACAGGGCUGAUUUUCUGGUUCCGGCUAUAUGUUGGGUAUGGCCCGUAUGGGUUGUAUUUGCGAAGUGCUUUUCAGCGCUGCAAGCCUGUCCAUCAUUUGUUCUACUGAUCAUCUCAUUUUCUUUUUGGCGUAUGUCACGACCGUCGAUGCCGCCGGUCUGCUCCUUUUAACCGUUUCGCUGGCAGUCUCUUGCUAUUAGCUUUGCGGGGGCAGGUAGCCGGCCGAACUU